RNAcentral lists this microRNA precursor (109 nucleotides) under Chlorocebus sabaeus (green monkey). RNAcentral's name for it is "miRNA (ENSCSAG00000024190.1)". The record is from RNAcentral. Lineage: Eukaryota; Metazoa; Chordata; Mammalia; Primates; Cercopithecidae.
AAAUGGGGAUUGCUUCUCGGCCUUUUGGCUAAGAUCAAGUGCAGAGGAAAUGGGUUCAAAGUUGAGCUAAUAACCAAUGGCUGGUGAUUUAAUCAACCAUGCCUAUGUA